Molecule: ribosomal RNA, 307 nt
Filed under: uncultured Glomeromycotina
Lineage: Eukaryota; Fungi; Glomeromycota
Description: SSU rRNA
Rfam family: Eukaryotic small subunit ribosomal RNA
Source: RNAcentral
CUUCUUARAAGGGACUAUCGGGUAUUUANCCGAUGGAAGUUUGAGNCAAAUANCAGGUCUGUGAUGCCCUUAGAUGUUCUGGNCCGCACGCGCGNUUACACUGAUGAAGUCAACGAGUUAAUUUCCCUUCAUCGGAAAGAUGUGGGUAAUCUUUUGAAACUUCAUCGUGCUGGGGAUAGAGCAUUGCAAUUAUUGCUCUUGAACGAGGAAUCCCUAGUAAGCACAAGUCAUUAGCUUGUGCUGAUUACGUCCCUGCCCUUUGUACACACCGCCCGUCGCUACUACCGAUUGAAUGGCUUAGUGAGGC